UGCUGGUUCCUUCCUCAGGAGUCUUCUGUGUCCUACUGUGAGGCAGUAUGAGGAGAGUAGGGCCAUUAAACUUGUUUGGACUGAGACAAUCACUUUCUGCCCGGUUGGAGUCUAAGAAGAAACACCAUGGAGCUUCAUGAAUGGAGUGGCCAGACUGCCCGGGGAACAUUGAUCUGUACCCCACAACAACCCAGAGCUCAGAACAUAAACAAAGACACAUUUGGAAGCUCCUGUGGAGACCGAUAUCCAAGAUCAACAGAUCCUGCAAUUUGCUACUUCCUCCUCCCCCCCUCUCCUCCGAGGGGGCUUAUGUAAGUCUCCCCUGGGG
This is a long non-coding RNA of Leopardus geoffroyi (Geoffroy's cat), 328 nucleotides long. RefSeq lists it as uncharacterized. Lineage: Eukaryota; Metazoa; Chordata; Mammalia; Carnivora; Felidae. The record is from RefSeq and is a predicted model, not a curated record. The transcript is spliced from 2 exons.